RNAcentral lists this non-coding RNA (215 nucleotides) under Thioclava sp. SK-1. RNAcentral also lists the same sequence under 1 other name. Lineage: Bacteria; Pseudomonadati; Pseudomonadota; Alphaproteobacteria; Rhodobacterales; Paracoccaceae. The record is from RNAcentral.
CGCAUGAAGAGACGCGCUGGUUCCUGUUGUUAUGACAGGCUAAGAGGGAAUGCGAGGGGGAUCGUCCAUUGAUCCGCUAUCGCAGCCGCCCCCGCGACCGUGACCGGAUUGGUCUUCAUGCCCACUGGCGUUUCGUGCUGGGAAGGGGAAGAUCGUAGGAUGGACAUACCAUCUGAUCCGCAAGCCGGGAGACCUGCCUGCGCGAGGCGCUAUCG